UACGUAGGUGGCAAGCGUUAUCCGGAUUUAUUGGGCGUAAAGAGAACGCAGGCGGUCUUUUAAGUCUGAUGUGAGAGCCUUCGGCUUAACCGGAGUAGUGCAUUGGAAACUGGGAGACUUGAGUGCAGAAGAGGAGAGUGGAACUCCAUGUGUAGCGGUGAAAUGCGUAGAUAUAUGGAAGAACACCAGUGGCGAGAGCGGCUCUCUGGUCUGUAACUGACGCUGAGGUCCGAAAGCGUGGGUAGCAAACAGG
RNAcentral lists this ribosomal RNA (253 nucleotides) under uncultured bacterium. RNAcentral describes it as "partial 16S ribosomal RNA". It matches the Rfam family "Bacterial small subunit ribosomal RNA", at positions 524 to 776 of the family's 1533-position model. The record is from RNAcentral.